Long non-coding RNA from Perognathus longimembris pacificus (Pacific pocket mouse), 781 nucleotides. RefSeq lists it as uncharacterized. The record is from RefSeq and is a predicted model, not a curated record. Lineage: Eukaryota; Metazoa; Chordata; Mammalia; Rodentia; Heteromyidae. The transcript has 2 exons.
CGUUUCUAUUUUUUCUAUUUUAUUUUUCUUGAAACGAAAUCGAAAACACACAUUUUUUUCUGUUGCUUGAAAGAGGAGAUUCUGCAUGGUGUAAUACAAAAUACUACAAAUAGCAACUUUUUGGAGAUAAUAGAGAAAUAGGUCACCAAACUUUAUAAGUGUUUUCCAAUAUGUGAAAGUAUAAUGUACAAAGAAUAUUCAUUGAGGAGUUAAUAUUACCAAAAUAUACUCUAAUAAAACAAUGAUAAUAUAAUAGAGUGCCAACUGAAUUUCGUUGCUCUGGUUUCCUGUUUCUCUGUUGUCUGGCUUUCAGCUUCACAAUCUAAUUCAGUCAUUGACUGACUAUGUGCUCUUUAGCUAAUUCUGUAGCUCCUUUAAUACAUCAUUAUACAACUCAUUCUUGCCUCUUCCUAUUUUCUAUUCAUGUAUCUUUUUCUACAGUAAUACUUUCCCCAUGCUGAAAAAUAAAAUAUAGCUACUUCCAGAAAGGUAAUUAUAGAUAUGCAUGCAUUCUGCAUUCACAGUCUUAUUCAUGGAAGUAUUAAGGAUGCAAUAAACUUGCAAUGAUAUGGCUAAAGUACAUUGUAUAUCUUGGGUCCCAAAACACAGCAAACCAGAACACAAAUUCAUUGAAUUUAAAAAGAAUAAAUUUUCAAACGAACUACAAUUUUCUGGGAUAACACAGAAAGGGCUAAAGUUGAAAAUAACAGUAUGGUGAUUAUAACCACAAUAGAGUAUUAUAUACUUGAAAACUGAAACGGAACGGGAACUUAAAUAUUCU